GAUGAACGCUAGCGGCAGGCCUAAUACAUGCAAGUCGAACGGUAAGGCCCUUUCGGGGGUACACGAGUGGCGGACGGGUGCGUAACGCGUAUGCAACAUGCCUUCCAGCGGGGGAUAUACCAGGGGAAACUUGGCGCAAUACCCCAUAGAAUUACGGGACCGCAUGGUCUUGUGAUUAAAACUCCGGUGCUGGGAGAUUGGCAUGCGUGACAUUAGCUAGUUGGCGGGGUAACGGCCCACCAAAACCGACGGUGGAUAGGGGGUUCUGAGAGGAAGGUCCCCCACAUUGGUACUGAGACACGGACCAAACUCCUACGGGAGGCAGCAGUGAGGAAUAUUGGUCAAUGGCCGAGAGGCUGAACCAGCCAAGUCGCGUGAAGGAAGAAGGAUCUAUGGUUUGUAAACUUCUUUUAUAGGGGAAUAAAGUGGAGGACGUGUCCUUUUUUGUAUGUACCCUAUGAAUAAGCAUCGGCUAACUCCGUG
Molecule: ribosomal RNA, 483 nt
Filed under: uncultured bacterium
Lineage: Bacteria
Description: bacterial SSU rRNA
Rfam family: Bacterial small subunit ribosomal RNA
Source: RNAcentral